Molecule: long non-coding RNA, 593 nt
Filed under: Homo sapiens (human)
Lineage: Eukaryota; Metazoa; Chordata; Mammalia; Primates; Hominidae
Description: non-protein coding lnc-LY75-1:2
Source: RNAcentral
GCGGGGCUCCUCAUGCUGCUCUUCUGGUUCUUCGAUCUCGCGGAGCCCUCUGGCCGCGCAGAGCAGACUUGUGGCCUUGUUUGGGGAAGCACUGGAAUUUUGAACCCCCAGCCAUUUGGGUCAAUUGUUUGGCAAGAGUGUCCGCUUCAUGAUGCUGGUGAUGGCAUGCACCUCGUCACAUGUGCACGGCUAGGCUUGUGCAGGUGGCCUCUAUUACCCAAACACUGAAGGAGCCCCUCUGUGUCCUUGGAGAGAUGCCAGGUGCUUAGUUUACAUUUUUGCCUGCUUGGAGAGCUAACAGCUUGAAGUAAACCAAUCCAUCAGGGACUCCUGAGGUUUUCACCAGCCAACACCACCCAAUCGUGCGUGAAGACUUUCUGACUCCCUGGACAUUGCCAUGGACUCAACUGUCACUUCAGGACCUGUUUUUGAACUAACAAACCUAGACUUCUGAUUCUCUCUUGCUGCACCUACCUGUACAUUCCGAACACAUGGUAGAGACUCUACAAAAUGCUUAAUAUGUGAUCUAUGGACGGUUCCCCUGAAAUUAUAAAUGCUGCCAUCUUCAUCCUUCUUGUUUUCCCAAGCUAUUU